Molecule: long non-coding RNA, 1237 nt
Filed under: Monodelphis domestica (gray short-tailed opossum)
Lineage: Eukaryota; Metazoa; Chordata; Mammalia; Didelphimorphia; Didelphidae
Description: lncRNA (ENSMODG00000036694.1)
Source: RNAcentral
AAUUAAAGAUUCCCUUUAAUCUUUCCACCAAUGUUCCCUUGCUCUUUCUCUCUUCCUAGAUGGACACGGAUCUUCUUCCCUACUCCCAAUGCCUGAAACCCAGGAUUCUUGUUUCCUUUGGAUCCUCAGACUGCCUCUCCUUUUCCCAAUGGUGGUGGGUUGAAAAAAUAUUCAUCUGCUAUAUCCCAGGUUCAGCCAUUCCAUCAGUGAGUGACAGUGGGUCAUAAAAGAAAUCAGCACAAUGCCUGGCUUACAGUAUUUGAUAGAUGCUUGUUGACGGACUGAUUGGGCAUAGCCUCGAUUCCCUAAAAACACUGAAGUAGUCAACACAUAUCUACUGACUAGAUGCCCACACUUUCAUUAACCAGAGGUAAGUUAUAUAAUGCACGGGGAGAAAUUGAAUGAAUUCCAAAAUGACUGACUGUAUGGUUCUUAUUCCCUUUCAUCAUUCCGACUUUUGAUCCUUACCCAAAGGCUUUUCUAAAAGCCUCAGAAAAGGUCUGGGUUUUAAAGAGCAGCCUGAAAUAGGAAAGUCAGGAGAGUAAUGAUAAGAAGAAGAAAGCUGGCUUUGUUGCAGAAGGAAGGCCAAGAAAAACACCCAAGAACAUGGGCAGCAGAAAAAAUCCUAGGGAGUUAUCCAAAGGCAAACUUUGAGUGAAAGGAAGAAAGAAGGAGAAGGGUAAUGAUGGAGGGAGGCAAGGGAGUUAUGGCAGUUGGAAGAAUGAUAUGAUUAUGAAGGACAAAAAAUUUGGGUUGGAUUUGUAAGAUCAGAAAUAGAGUUAUUUGUUGUUCGGUUGUUUCAGUCGUGUCUGACUCUUUGACAUCUCACAUGGGGUUUUCUUGGCAAAGACAUGACAGUGGUUUGCCAUUCCUACUCUGGCUCAUUUUACUGAUGAGGAACUAAGGAAAACAGGAUUAGAUUACUUGCCCAAGGUCACAUAUUAAGUGUCUGGGGCCAGAUUUGAAUUCAGAAAGAUAAGCCCUCCUGACUCCAGACCCAGAACUUUUAUCUACUCUUAUGUACUAUAGUGACUUUGUAAAGUCAUUUUGGAGGUAGCAUAAGGAACACUGUACAGAAAAAUGCUUAAUGCCCAGAUGCUCAUUUAUGGUGAGGAGAGUAUCAAAGAAUGAAGGGAGUAUUGAAUCACUAAACUGAAGUUCCCCUCCAUCAGGCACAACCCCCUGCCUGCAGUCAAAACUACCUAACCAUCUUGGUCACUCCUUAGAGUCUCAGCAA